UGUGUGUGUGUGUGUGUGUGUUUAACUUGUGAACAAAGAUUAAAAGUAGGUGUAGAAACUCAAUCUUCUUUGGUAUCUCAGAACUCGUUGCUCAGUGUGUCUUGAUACAAAUAAAAAGCGAUAUA
Small nucleolar RNA from Rattus norvegicus (Norway rat), 125 nucleotides. Ensembl annotates it as small nucleolar RNA SNORA40. NCBI's taxonomy places the organism in Eukaryota, Metazoa, Chordata, Mammalia, Rodentia, Muridae. The record is from Ensembl.